This 218-nucleotide long non-coding RNA is filed under the name Ananas comosus (pineapple). Its description in RNAcentral is "long non-coding RNA (ACOM_LNC044770)". The record is from RNAcentral. Lineage: Eukaryota; Viridiplantae; Streptophyta; Magnoliopsida; Poales; Bromeliaceae.
UAAUUCUCUCCUCUCUCAUUUAGAAAUAAAUAAACUUAGCUAGAAAUAUGAAUCAAUUAGAAUUCGAAUUUGGAAUCUCGGAUAUCAAUCACCAAACCCUUUGCCACUUGCUCUAGAAACGGUCGGUUAAAAUUGCAAAUAGUUAAAAAUAUAAUAACUAUAGCUACAUAUAUUUUAUUUGGUUGGAUACAAUAAAAAUCAUUAUAAUCCCACGGCAA